UGAGCAAAAUGUAUUUUAGUUCAAAGCCCCGAAACUAAGUGAGCUACUUCGAAACGUCUUAAGGACAAACCCGUCUCUGUCGCAAUAGAGUGGGAAGAUUUCCAAGUAGCGGCGACAAACCAACCGCACUUAGAGAUAGCUGGUUACUCAAGAACAGAAUUUAAGUUCAACCUUAAGUUUAUCAAUUAUAAAAAAAAAUUCAUUAAACUUAAGAGCUAUUCAAAUAAGGCACAGCUUAUUUGAAACAGGAUACAGCCUACAGCACCGGGUAAAAUUCCAGAGCAGAAAACAAGUGGGCCUAAAAGCAGCCACCUUUUAAAAAGCGUUAAAGCUUAACCUCUAUUCUUUCUUAAUACCUCCACAUACUCUCAACCCGCCACCAAUAUUGAGUAAUUCCAUAAACUUAUGGAAAAUAUAAUGCUAGAACUAGUAACAAGAACAACCUUCUCCAAAAUGCAAACCUUAGCCACAAUAGAAAGCCUAUUGGCAAUUAACGUAGAUGACAGCACUAUAGCACCUUAAACAAGAAUACCCUAUAACCUCUAACGUCAACCUUACACCAGAGCAUUAAUGAAAGAUAAAAG
This 584-nucleotide ribosomal RNA is filed under the name Gephyromantis leucomaculatus. Its description in RNAcentral is "partial 16S ribosomal RNA". The stretch from base 1 to 424 matches the Rfam family "Bacterial large subunit ribosomal RNA", at positions 689 to 1300 of the family's 2925-position model. Lineage: Eukaryota; Metazoa; Chordata; Amphibia; Anura; Mantellidae. The record is from RNAcentral.